CUUGUUUCUCGGGUGGCGAGCGGCGGACGAGAGAGUAAUGCCUGGGAAAUUGCCCUGAUGUGGGGGACAAUCAUUGGAAACGAUGGCUAAUACCGCAUGAUGCCUACGGGCCAAAAAGGGGGACCUUCGGGACUCUCGCGUCAGGAUAUGCCCCGUUGGGAUUAGCUAGGUGGUGAGGUAAGGUCUCACCAAGGCGACGAUCCCCAGCGUGGUCUGAGAGGAUGAUCAGCCACACUGGAACUGAUACGCGGGCCAGACUCCUACGGUAGGCAGCAGUGGGGAAUAUUGCACAAUGGGCGCAAGCCUGAUGCAUCCAUGCCGCGUGUGUGAAGAAGGCCUUCUGGUUGUAAAGCACUUUCAUUAGGGAGGAAGGUGGUAGUGUUAAUAGCGCUAUCAUUUGACGUUACCUACUGAAGAAGCACCGGCUAACUCCGUGCCAGCAACCGCGGUAAUACGGAGGGUGCGAGCGUUAAUCGGAAUUACUGGGCGUAAAGCGCAUGCAGGUGGUUUGUUAAGUCAGAUGUGAAAGCCCCGGGCUCAACCUGAGAAUUGCAUUUGAAACUGGCAAACU
RNAcentral lists this ribosomal RNA (571 nucleotides) under uncultured bacterium. RNAcentral's name for it is "bacterial SSU rRNA". It matches the Rfam family "Bacterial small subunit ribosomal RNA", at positions 75 to 642 of the family's 1533-position model. The record is from RNAcentral.